RNAcentral lists this unclassified non-coding RNA (390 nucleotides) under uncultured Verrucomicrobiae bacterium. RNAcentral's name for it is "contains 16S-23S intergenic spacer region". Lineage: Bacteria; Pseudomonadati; Verrucomicrobiota; Verrucomicrobiia. The record is from RNAcentral.
UCCUCGUUUAAGCGAGGCAGUCUGUCCAGAGUGCUCCCGAGUCUUUCAACCAGGAUAGCAACAGGACACAAGGGUUGCGCUCGUUGCGGGACUUAACCCAACAUCUCACGACACGAGCUGACGACAGCCAUGCAGCACCUGUGCAAGCUCCCCUUGCGGGGUCGUCCCACUUUCAUGGUCCUACCACUUGCAUGUCAAGGCCAGGUAAGGUUCUUCGCGUUGCAUCGAAUUAAGCCACAUACUCCACCGCUUGUGCAGGCCCCCGUCAAUUUCUUUGAGUUUUAAUCUUGCGACCGUACUUCCCAGGCGGCACGUUUAUCGCGUUAGCUUCGCCACAAAAGGGGUCGAAUCCUUUUACAGCAAACGUGCACCGUUUACGGCUAGGACUAC